This 513-nucleotide ribosomal RNA is filed under the name Melanoides tuberculata. RNAcentral's name for it is "partial large subunit ribosomal RNA". It matches the Rfam family "Bacterial large subunit ribosomal RNA", at positions 1932 to 2620 of the family's 2925-position model. Lineage: Eukaryota; Metazoa; Mollusca; Gastropoda; Thiaridae. The record is from RNAcentral.
GGGGUUAGAGAGAGGCGUGGGGUGUGUUAUAAAAAAUUUUGGUUUUUUUUUUAAAACACCGGGCCCGGUUCCUUAUUCAUUUGCCUUAUAAUUGAAGGCUUGAACGAAUGGCCUGACGAAAGCAAUACUGUCUCUUCUUUAUUAUCUAGAAAUUAACCUAUGGGUGAAGAGGCCUAUAUUAUAUUGAAGGACAAGAAGACCCUGUCGAGCUUUAGAGUAAAGCAGGAAUAUAAGUAUUAAAAAAAAUCAAUGACUACAUAACUCUUUAGUUGGGGCGACUAAGGAACAAAUAAAGCUUCUUUUAGUUUUUUAGAUCAAUAAAUUUAGAUCCAGCAAAGCUGAUUAAAAGAAUUAGUUACCGCAGGGAUAACAGCAUAAUCUCUCUUGAGAGACCUAAUCGAAAGAGGGGGUUGUGACCUCGAUGUUGGACUAAAAUAUCCUGAAGAUGCAGACGUCUUCGAAGGUUGGUCUGUUCGACCAUUAAAAUUUUACGUGAUCUGAGUUCAGACCGGA